GGACGAACGCUGGCGGUGUGCUUACCACAUGCAAGUCGAACGGUAAGGCCCUUUCGGGGGUACACGAGUGGCGAACGGGUGAGUAACACGUGAGUAACCUGCCCUCAUCUCUGGGAUAGCAGUCGGAAACGGUUGCUAAUACUGGAUAUGAGCCUGCAAGGCAUCUUGUGGGUUGGAAAGAUUUUUUGGUUGGGGAUGGACUCGCGGCCUAUCAGCUUGUUGGUGAGGUAGUGGCUCACCAAGGCUUCGACGGGUAGCCGGCCUGAGAGGGCGACCGGCCACAUUGGGACUGAGAUACGGCCCAAACUCCUACGGGAGGCAGCAGGGGGGAAUAUUGCACAAUGGACGGAAGUCUGAUGCAGCAACGCCGCGUGCGGGAUGACGGCCUUCGGGUUGUAAACCGCUUUCAAUUGUGACGAAGCUUUUUGUGACGGUAGCAGUAGAAGAAGCACCGGCUAACUACGUG
Molecule: ribosomal RNA, 466 nt
Filed under: uncultured bacterium
Lineage: Bacteria
Description: partial 16S ribosomal RNA
Rfam family: Bacterial small subunit ribosomal RNA
Source: RNAcentral